AUAAAGGUGGCAGAAAUAUGCAUUAGAUUUAGGCUCUAAUUAUGAAGCCCUACUUCCCUUUAUU
This 64-nucleotide transfer RNA is filed under the name Bithynia leachii. Its description in RNAcentral is "tRNA-Leu". Lineage: Eukaryota; Metazoa; Mollusca; Gastropoda; Littorinimorpha; Bithyniidae. The record is from RNAcentral.